GGGCAGGUGGCAGAGCGGUUGAAUGCACCGGUCUUGAAAACCGGCAUGGGUGCAAGCCCAUCGUGGGUUCGAAUCCCACCCUGCCCG
RNAcentral lists this transfer RNA (87 nucleotides) under Pacificimonas flava. It matches the Rfam family "tRNA". Rfam says of the family: Transfer RNA (tRNA) molecules are approximately 80 nucleotides in length. The record is from Rfam by way of RNAcentral. Lineage: Bacteria; Pseudomonadati; Pseudomonadota; Alphaproteobacteria; Sphingomonadales; Sphingosinicellaceae.